Molecule: ribosomal RNA, 427 nt
Filed under: uncultured bacterium
Lineage: Bacteria
Description: partial 16S ribosomal RNA
Rfam family: Bacterial small subunit ribosomal RNA
Source: RNAcentral
UGGGGAAUAUUGCACAAUGGGCGCCAGCCUGAUGCAGCCAUGCCGCGUGUAUGAAGAAGGCCUUCGGGUUGUAAAGUACUUUCAGCGGGGCGGAAGGUGUUGAGGUUAAUAACCUCAGCACUUGACGUUACCCGCAGAAGAAGCACCGGCUAACUCCGUGCCAGCAGCCGCGGUAAUACGGAGGGUGCAAGCGUUAAUCGGAAUUACUGGGCGUAAAGCGCACGCAGGCGGUCUGUCAAGUCGGAUGUGAAAUCCCCGGGCUCAACCUGGGAACUGCAUUCGAAACUGGCAGGCUAGAGUCUUGUAGAGGGGGGUAGAAUUCCAGGUGUAGCGGUGAAAUGCGUAGAGAUCUGGAGGAAUACCGGUGGCGAAGGCGGCCCCCUGGACAAAGACUGACGCUCAGGUGCGAAAGCGUGGGGAGCAAACA